GUCGAGAAUCUUCCGCAAUGCGCGAAAGCGUGACGGAGCGACACCGCGUGAUGGAUGAAGUCCUUCGGGGCGUAAACAUCUUUUAUAAAGGAGGAAAUUUUUGACGUUACUUUAUGAAUAAGGGGCUCCCAAUCUCGUGCCAGCAGGAGCGGUAAUACGAGAGCCUCAAGCGUUAUCCGGAAUCAUUGGGCGUAAAGGGUGCGUAGGUGGUUUGAUUAGUCUCCCGUUAAAACUUCGAGCUUAACUCGAAAAGAGCGGGGGAAACGGUCAAACUAGAGUAUAGGAGAGGUGUGUGGAACUCAUGGUGUAGGGGUGAAAUCCGUUGAUAUCAUGGGGAACACCAAAAGCGAAGGCAGCACACUGGCACAUCACUGACACUGAGGCACGAAACCUAAGGUAGCGAAUGGGAUUAGAUACCCGGGUAGUCC
Molecule: ribosomal RNA, 428 nt
Filed under: uncultured bacterium
Lineage: Bacteria
Description: bacterial SSU rRNA
Rfam family: Bacterial small subunit ribosomal RNA
Source: RNAcentral